RNAcentral lists this long non-coding RNA (350 nucleotides) under Capsicum annuum. RNAcentral describes it as "long non-coding RNA (CANN_LNC010250)". Lineage: Eukaryota; Viridiplantae; Streptophyta; Magnoliopsida; Solanales; Solanaceae. The record is from RNAcentral.
UAUCCCCUAGCAUGAUUAGUAGCUUCUGUGAAAUCAUUAAAACCUUUAAAGAGAGGAGCUUUAAAACCUUGUAUAGAAUCUAGUACCUCUAACCAGGUUUGAAAAAUGCCAUUAGUUUUUCCAUGAAUUACUACAUAGUAUUUAAAACGAGGCCUACUUUUUUCGGCCAUGUAAUGACAUAAAGCAUUCAUAGAUGCCAUGAAAUGGUUUCUAUUUUGUCUGUUAUAAGAAAUCCAGAGGUUAUCGAUUAAACACCUUUGGGGUCUGUCUAAAACGUAGUCUGGUCUUAUUCUGAAUGAUAUAUUGCUCUCAGGGUAUGCUAUUAAAUUAAAUGGGCCGAAAUGAAUUCG